Molecule: ribosomal RNA, 116 nt
Filed under: uncultured bacterium
Lineage: Bacteria
Description: partial 16S ribosomal RNA
Source: RNAcentral
CAACGCCGCGUGGGGGAUGAAGCGUUUUCGGAAGUGUUAAACCCCUUUCGGACCCGGAAGAAAGCCCGCAAGGGUUUCGACGGUACGGGUAUAAGAAGCCCCGGCUAACUACGUGC